CAUUCUACAACAAAAUAUGCAUCGGUGCUUGACGGUGUUGUUAAUUGUAGCUUUUUUUGAGUCUCAUCUGUCAGUGGAGGCUGUAAAUGCACCUCCAGGACAAACAUUGGGACAACCAUGGCCGAUGCCUCAAAGCUAUCAAUCUUAUCCAGAUUUACUUCUUCUUAAUUCUGCAACUUUCAACCUUAGUCCUGUUGGCCAUAGCUGUGAUAUACUUCAAGAUGCUAUCAGACGAUAUAGACUAAUAAUUUUUGGACCUUCGAAUGCUUUAAAAUUUAGACCUAAAUCAAAUGUAAAUGUCCUAGCUAAUUUGGACGUCAACUUGAUGAAUGAAUGCGAAAAAUACCCAUCUCUGGAAAUGAAAGAGAAUUAUACCUUGACCGUUACAUCCUCGACAGCCAAUCUUGCAUCUCCAACUAUAUGGGGAAUUCUUCGAGGUUUGGAAACUUUCAGCCAGCUGGUUUAUCGAGGCAACUAUGGCGAAUUUCUCUUGAACGCUACGAAGAUUGUCGACUUUCCCCGAUUCUCCCACAGAGGUGUGCUAUUAGAUACAUCUCGUCACUAUUUAUCGAAAGAGGUUAUCAAGGAGAACAUUGAGGCAAUGGCUUAUAAUAAAAUGAACGUUUUUCAUUGGCAUAUCGUAGAUGAUCAAUCAUUUCCCUAUCAAAGUCGUAAAUAUCCUAAGCUUAGUGACGAAGGUGCUUACAAUCGUUUCACUCACAUCUAUACUCAAAAUGACGUUGCUGAAAUUAUUGAAUUUGCUCGUGUAAGAGGUAUUAGAGUCAUACCCGAAUAUGAUACUCCAGGCCAUUCUCAAUCUUGGGGAAAGGGACAAAAAGGUCUCUUAACAGAAUGUUAUAGUCAGGGAAAGCCAAACGGAAAUUUUGGACCUAUUAAUCCAAUUGUAAACACUACAUAUACAUUCCUGGAAGGUUUUUUUUCAGAAGUUCAACAAGUAUUCCCAGAUAAAUAUACACAUAUGGGAGGUGACGAAGUGUCUUUUGAUUGUUGGAAAAGUAAUCCGGAUAUUACAAAAUUUAUGCAACAGCAUGGUUUCCCUGGAAACUAUUCAAGAUUGGAACAAUACUACGAACAAAGAUUACUCAAUAUUAUGGCAAAACUAAAUGCAGGAUAUAUCAUUUGGCAAGAAGUUGUAGAUAACGGUGUAAAAGUAAGACCAGACACGGUCGUUGAAAUUUGGAAAGGUGGAUAUCAAGAUGAGUUAGCUAAAGUCACCAAGAAAGGCUUAAGAACUAUACUUUCAUCUUGCUGGUACCUAAAUUAUAUUAGCUACGGAGGCGAUUGGACUAAGUAUUAUUCAUGUGAUCCAUGGGAUUUCGAAGGUACUGCUGAACAGAAGAAUUUAGUUAUUGGAGGCGAGUCUUGCAUGUGGGGAGAGUAUGUAGAUUCUACUAACGUCAUCUCAAGACUAUGGCCUAGGAAUUCAGCUGUUGCCGAAAGACUAUGGAGCGCACAAUCCGUAAAGAAUCCUGAUAAGGCAAAACCUAGAAUUGAAGAAAAUCGCUGUCGUAUGAUAAGACGAGGCAUUAGAGCAGAACCAUUAAGUGGACCAGGAUUUUGUAGCCAAGAAUUCAAUUCUAUCCCCUAAAUAUGUUUGAUAAUACUCAGUGAUAUGUAUUUGCAAUGAUACUAUAGAGAAUAAAUGAUAAUGAACUUUUAAUCUUUCUUUCACGACACUAAUUUUGACUUGAAAAUUUGCUUUUAUGAAACAUAUGAAUAACAUUAAUAUUAUAAUAGCUCACUUGUAAAUUUAGGUUCGCCCAGAUACUGUUGUGCAUGUAUGGAAAGGGGGAUGGCAACAAGAUAUUGCCAAGGUAACAGCUUUAGGUCAUAGAGCAUUAUUAUCCACUUGUUGGUACCUUGAUUAUAUAUCAUAUGGAACUGAUUGGACAUCUUAUUACAAUUGCGAACCGCUUAAUUGGCAAGGUAGGAAUCUUAAUAAGACAUGAAAACGAGAAAACACCAUUUACUUAUAGGCAGUGCCGCACAAAAAAAGUUAGUAAUGGGUGGUGAAGCAGCUCUAUGGGGAGAAUUUGUUGAUACCUCAAAUGUUGUUUCUAGACUUUGGUAAUUUAAAAUAGAAUUAUAUUUAACACACGUCAAUUAAAACAAAUUGUUAGGCCUAGAGCAAGUGCUGUUGCUGAAAAAUUGUGGAGUUCCUCAGCAAUGUCCGAUGCAACAAGUGCAACGCCAAGAUUUAAGGAACACAGAUGCAGAAUGGUCGGACGGGGAAUUAGAGCCGAACCUCAAAAUGGUCCUGGCUAUUGCGUAAAGGAAUUUAACUAGUUACUUACUAGGAAGAAAAGAAUAGAAUACGACAAUUUGAUUUAGUUUCUAACUUUGUUAUGAUUUUAACUUUUAGCUCUAAGAAAUAAAUGGUGUUACACACCUGUAUACAGU
Molecule: unclassified non-coding RNA, 2421 nt
Filed under: Dimorphilus gyrociliatus
Lineage: Eukaryota; Metazoa; Annelida; Polychaeta; Dinophilidae
Description: beta-hexosaminidase
Source: RNAcentral